RNAcentral lists this ribosomal RNA (726 nucleotides) under Picnochile fallaciosa. RNAcentral's name for it is "bacterial SSU rRNA". The stretch from base 539 to 726 matches the Rfam family "Eukaryotic small subunit ribosomal RNA", at positions 743 to 927 of the family's 1831-position model. Lineage: Eukaryota; Metazoa; Arthropoda; Insecta; Coleoptera; Carabidae. The record is from RNAcentral.
UCGUAGUUGAAUUUGUGUCUCGCGCUGUCGGUUCAUCGCCUGCGUGCGGUGUUAACUGGCACGCCGCGGGACGUCUUGCCGGAAGACCGGUAUGUGUUUUUCAACGUGUCAUUCUUAACGUCCAUAUUACAUAAAAUAUUUUCAUUUAUAAAAUAUUUGAUUGUUGUAUGUUUGUGUGUGUAUAUAUGUUAUUUGUGUUUGGUGUUUUGUGUGGCGUGUGUGUGUUGUUAAUGUUAUAUGGUGUGUUAAUGUUUUUCCGUUUACAAUUAACGGUUUGAGUGGCGCACACAANUACACAUAUAUAUAUUAUACAGNCACACACACACACACACAUACAACAUACAUAUAUAAUUCAUUCACACACACACACACACAUACAUCUACAUAUUUUCAUAAUUUACCACACAUUACCACACACAUCAUUAUUUAUAAGAAUGGAUUUAUUGUAUUUGGCUCCGUUAUGCUUUGGCCGGCUUAGUGCAUACGUAGUCCGACUUUCAAUCCUGUCUAGGUGCUCUUAAUUGAGUGUCGUGGCGGGCCGGCACGUUUACUUUGAACAAAUUAGAGUGCUUAAAGCAGGCUAUUGUUGCCUGAAUACAGUGUGCAUGGAAUAAUGGAACAGGACCUCGGUUCUAUUUUGUUGGUUUUCGGAAUUUCGAGGUAAUGAUUAAUAGGGACAGAUGGGGGCAUUCGUAUUGCGACGUUAGAGGUGAAAUUCUUGGAUCG